Molecule: ribosomal RNA, 402 nt
Filed under: Escherichia coli
Lineage: Bacteria; Pseudomonadati; Pseudomonadota; Gammaproteobacteria; Enterobacterales; Enterobacteriaceae
Description: bacterial SSU rRNA
Rfam family: Bacterial small subunit ribosomal RNA
Source: RNAcentral
UUAAAUUGAAGAGUUUGAUCAUGGCUCAGAUUGAACGCUGGCGGCAGGCCUAACACAUGCAAGUCGAACGGUAACAGGAAACAGCUUGCUGUUUCGCUGACGAGUGGCGGACGGGUGAGUAAUGUCUGGGAAACUGCCUGAUGGAGGGGGAUAACUACUGGAAACGGUAGCUAAUACCGCAUAACGUCGCAAGACCAAAGAGGGGGACCCUCGGGCCUCUUGCCAUCGGAUGUGCCCAGAUGGGAUUAGCUUGUUGGUGGGGUAACGGCUCACCAAGGCGACGAUCCCUAGCUGGUCUGAGAGGAUGACCAGCCACACUGGAACUGAGACACGGUCCAGACUCCUACGGGAGGCAGCAGUGGGGAAUAUUGCACAAUGGGCGCAAGCCUGAUGCAGCCAUGC